This 3038-nucleotide long non-coding RNA is filed under the name Theobroma cacao (cacao). RNAcentral's name for it is "long non-coding RNA (TCAC_LNC006034)". The record is from RNAcentral. Lineage: Eukaryota; Viridiplantae; Streptophyta; Magnoliopsida; Malvales; Malvaceae.
ACCAAACCUCCUCAUUUUAAACUUAAUUCAUUUAUCCUUUAAUGUUGGAAGUCCAUGCUCAAUUAUGGUACUAAAGAAAUGAAAAAUAGGGUAGCAACCGAAUCAAAUGAGGAGCAAAAUAGAAAGUUUUUUGCUGAAUCUCGCUGUAGCGAAAUUUUGGUCACAAAAUAGAGAGUUUCUCGUUGCAGCGAGAAGCUACAGUAACAUUCUCGCUGUAGCGAGAUUUUCGGCCAGCCUUACCCUUUCAACCAGAGAGUUUCUCGCUGCAGUGAGAUUCAAUCUCGUUGCAGCGAGAAAUAAGGCACCAACAAAAAUUCCCCAUUCCCUCAAGCAAAGGCCACCCUGUUCACAUGACCAACACAACAUGAAACUCAUAUAAUUUCCCAAAGUUUAACAUGUCAAAUUUCACAUGCAUUUCAACCAUUUACAUAUUCAUGAACUUUCUAUAACACACAUAUCUAUACAUGUAUAUAUAUAUUCAUCAUCAUGCACACUCUCCCAUCGUCAUCAGCUCAUGUGCACUCCCCACUAGCACAUGGCUGGGUUAUCAUCGGCUUAUGUGCACUCCCACUCGCACAUAGUCGGGUCAUCAUCGGCUUAUGUACACUCCUACUCACACAUAGCCGGGUCCACAUCAACAUACAAAGAAGCACCCAAAUCAUAUCAUGCAUAUUAUCAUAUUGUUAUAACAUAUAAACCAUUGUAUAGCACUUUUUCACAAUAUAAAAUCACUUCACCAAAGGCUUGUUCCCAAGGUACAUUUUUAAAGGAAAACUAGAUAAAAUCUUUCAAAUGUUUGUACAAUUGCAUUCACAUUCCCAAAACAAAUUUUGAAAUGCAAGUUCACUCAUCGGUAUGUUGUUGGGCCUUUAAUCGACUCUAACUUCCGUAAUGGUCCAAAUGGGGCGAUAAAGCUUCGUUGGAACCUACCAUUACAUUAGCAUCACCAUUAUGUCAAUUCACAUACUUAUAGAAUCCAAAAACUUUCUCUUAGCUAACUUCCAAUGGCCAUUUAAAUGCCUAUCUAUUCUCUCUACCCUUAUCACUUUAAAAUGAAUGAACAUCCCAACUACCAAUUCACCCGCAAAUCUAAACACUAAUCAUUCUCAACACCAAAACUCAAUUCUAAUGUACUACUCACCUUGGUAGCUUGUAUAUGAAAUUCUUUCCAAAAGUUUCAAGCUAUUUUUGAAGCUUCCUCUUUCUCUCUCUAAAACACCUAACUAGUGACAGAGGGUAUAGAAAUAAGAUUUUUUCAAGGGUUUUAAGGAGAGAGAGUGGAAGAGCACAACGGUUUAUGGAAAAGGUGCACCAAAAGCAUGAAAUUUGGAGCUAUUUGAGGAAGGUUGUUGAGCUUUCUUAUCAAGCUUUCAUGGAGGUUGGGAAGUAGCGUGAAAGAGAAGAAGAAGAAGAAGAAAAGCUGCUGGAGAAUGUAGAAGCCGCUGGAAGAAAGAGAUAUUUAUAGCUCAAGCUUAUCCACUCCACUUAAAUUACCAAAAUGCCCCUCCACAAAUUAGCUUAUUCUCCUCCAAUCUUUUAUGCAAUCUUUUUACUCUUUUGACACUGGGACAAGGUCCAUAAUGGUCUAGAAAUGCUCGAGUUCAUGAAAACUUAAAAAUUCUAACUUGAGGUGAAAAAUGACCAUUUCGCCCAUAUCGUGAAAAUCAUCAAAAUUUUUGUUUUCUUGUCAUUUUACCCAUAUUUUCAUCAUUCAUUUAUGCCUUAGGCCUACUUAGGCCAUAAUAUUGUUUAAAAUCUUACUUUUAUGGGCUCACUAAGAAAAUGACAAAAUUAUCCCUGAUUAGGGAUAUCGCAUAUAUUACUAACUAUGAGUCUAUAAAGGACAAAGUCUCACAAUAAUUCCUCAAAGGCUUGGUCUCUUCCUCUUGUUGAUGAACCAUUGUUUUACUUGAAGUAGAAUUUUUUUUUUAUUUUUCCUUCAAAGUGUAUGAAAAGUUUUUCUUUUGAUUUCUGGAUCAAUAAGAACAAUUUCCAAAUUUCGGGCUCUUCGCAUACAACGACCAAAAGUACUUGAAAAAAUAAAAUAAUUAAAGAAAAAAAGUCUAGGUUAAAAUUAAGAAUGCUUGGUAUUAAUAUUAACAAAAAAGAAUUAAAAAUCAAUUCUCUAGUAACGACGCCAAAAACUUGUUGAUUUCUCACGUAAAUGCACGUAUCGUUAACAAGUAAUAUAGUAAUGAAGUAGAGUAUCGUUCCCAUAGAGAAUUGUUUAAUUCCUACAGUUAAGUACUAAAAUUAUAACACCCUAAUUUUGUCUAAACAAUUAAAAUAAAAAAAUUAAAACUAAUAAACUAAAACUAAAAUUAAAUAGUAAAUAAAACUCACUUAACUACCAGACCUAAGAUUAUAAUGUCCCUCAAUACUUCAUCUGAUUAUUAUCUCUCUCUCUCUCUUAACUUAGUUUAAUGGAUUAAAUUACUAAACUAGAGUCCUAAAUUAUUUAUAAGUCUCUGUCGAGUUUUUCAUAAAAAUACCUCUCCCAAUUAAUUUACUAUAUAUCUAUGCAAAUUAAAUUGAAGAAAAAUUAUUAAGUUUAUACUCUAAUCUUGGCUAAGUAUGGCUUAUAAGUGUAUGUCUAGCCUAUAUGCAAAUCAAACCACCUAAUCAACUAAGUGUAUUCGAUCAUACGCUAUUUUAUUCAAGGUCUACCUAAAUCUCUUUCGUCAAGGUUUAACCUAGGUUUUCAAUUCAAUCUAAUUGGUGAUCAGGCAAUUAGAAGCAUUAAGAACAGAAUAAAAUAAACAACCUAAAUUUAUCAAAAAUAAGCAAAAGAGAGAUAAAUAGUUCAGACUACAUAAUGAGUUCAAUCAUAAUCUUAGUUUAAAAAUUUAGGUCCCCAUCAAGUCACACAUUAUCAUCGAAUAAAGUUUAAACAAUAAAAACAAACUAAAAAAAAUAAGAGAAUAAUCAAAAAGAUAAACCUCAAGAAUUAUAAUCUUGAUCUUUUAAGUCUUCUUGAAUCCUUCAAAAUCUUCUCAGCUUCAAUGACUUUGUGGCUUGACUCCCAGCUUUCAAUCUGA